GUGGGGAAUCUUGCGCAAUGGGCGAAAGCCUGACGCAGCCAUGUCGCGUGAAUGAUGAAGGUCUUAGGAUUGUAAAAUUCUUUCACCGUGGACGAUAAUGACGGUACCCGGAGAAGAAGCCCCGGCUAACUUCGUGCCAGCAGCCGCGGUAAUACGAAGGGGGCUAGCGUUGCUCGGAAUUACUGGGCGUAAAGGGCGCGUAGGCGGACAGUUUAGUCAGAGGUGUAAGCCCAGGGCUCAACCUUGGAAUUGCCUGUGAUACUGGCUGUCUUGAGUACGGGAGAGGUGAGUAGAACUCCGUGUGUAUAGGUGAAAUUCGUAGAUAUUCGGUAGAAAACCAGGGGCGAUGGCUACUCACUGGCCCGUUGCUUACGCUGAGGCGCGAAGGCGUGGGGAGCAAACAGGAUUAGAUACCCGGGUAGUCC
RNAcentral lists this ribosomal RNA (425 nucleotides) under uncultured bacterium. RNAcentral's name for it is "partial 16S ribosomal RNA". It matches the Rfam family "Bacterial small subunit ribosomal RNA", at positions 354 to 796 of the family's 1533-position model. The record is from RNAcentral.